RNAcentral lists this ribosomal RNA (708 nucleotides) under Mycoplasmopsis synoviae. RNAcentral describes it as "bacterial SSU rRNA". It matches the Rfam family "Bacterial small subunit ribosomal RNA", at positions 346 to 1059 of the family's 1533-position model. The record is from RNAcentral. Lineage: Bacteria; Bacillati; Mycoplasmatota; Mycoplasmoidales; Metamycoplasmataceae.
AGGCAGCAGUAGGGAAUUUUCCACAAUGGGCGAAAGCCUGAUGGAGCAACACAGCGUGUAGGAUGAAGGCCUUCGGGUUGUAAACUACUGUUAUAUGGGAAGAAAAACUAGUAUAGGAAAUGAUAUUAGCUUGACGGUACCAUGUCAGAAAGCAACGGCUAACUAUGUGCCAGCAGCCGCGGUAAUACAUAGGUUGCAAGCGUUAUCCGGAAUUAUUGGGCGUAAAGCGUCUGUAGGUUGUUUGUUAAGUCUGGUGUUAAAACUUGGAGCUCAACUCCAAAUUGCAUUGGAUACUGGCAGACUAGAAUUGUUUAGAGGUUAGCGGAAUUCCUUGUGAAGCGGUGGAAUGCGUAGAUAUAAGGAAGAACACCAACAUGGCGAAGGCAGCUAACUGGGAACAUAUUGACACUGAGAGACGAAAGCGUGGGGAGCAAACAGGAUUAGAUACCCUGGUAGUCCACGCUGUAAACGAUGAUGACUAGUUGAUGGAAACCAUCGACGCAGCUAACGCAUUAAGUCAUCCGCCUGAGUAGUAUGCUCGCAAGAGUGAAACUUAAAGGAAUUGACGGGGAUCCGCACAAGCGGUGGAGCAUGUGGUUUAAUUUGAGGCUACGCGUAGAACCUUACCCACUCUUGACAUCUUCUGCAAAGCUAUAGAGAUAUAGUGGAGGUUAACAGAAUGACAGAUGGUGCAUGGUUGUCGUCAGC